Non-coding RNA from Podarcis lilfordi (Lilford's wall lizard), 107 nucleotides. The record is from the annotation of a GenBank genome assembly. NCBI's taxonomy places the organism in Eukaryota, Metazoa, Chordata, Lepidosauria, Squamata, Lacertidae.
GCGCACGUGUGUCCUCUCUCUCUGUCUCUCUCUCUCUCUCUCUCUCUGUGUGUGUGUGUGUGUGUGAGAGAGAGAGAGAGAGAGAGAGAGAGAGAGAGAUGCAUUUU